This 253-nucleotide ribosomal RNA is filed under the name uncultured bacterium. RNAcentral describes it as "partial 16S ribosomal RNA". It matches the Rfam family "Bacterial small subunit ribosomal RNA", at positions 524 to 776 of the family's 1533-position model. The record is from RNAcentral.
UACGAAGGGUGCAAGCGUUACUCGGAAUUACUGGGCGUAAAGCGCGUGUAGGCGGUUGCCCAAGUCGGGUGUGAAAGCCUUGAGCUCAACUCAAGAAAUGCACUCGGUACUGGGUGACUAGAGGACCGGAGAGGAUAGUGGAAUUCCCAGUGUAGUGGUGAAAUACGUAGAGAUUGGGAAGAACACCAGUGGCGAAGGCGGCUAUCUGGACGGUUUCUGACGCUAAGACGCGAAAGCGUGGGGAGCAAACAGG